GAUGAAGAACGCAGCGAAAUGCGAUAAGUAAUGUGAAUUGCAGAAUUCAGUGAAUCAUCGAAUCUUUGAACGCACAUUGCGCCCGGCAGUACUCUGCCGGGCAUGCCUGUUCGAGCGUCAUUUCAACCCUCAAGCCCUGCUUGGUGUUGGGGUCCCACGGCCGCCGUGGGCCCUGAAAGGAAGUGGCGGGCUCGCUACAACUCCGAGCGUAGUAAUUCAUUAUCUCGCUUAGGGCGUUGGGCGGCGCUCCUGCCGUUAAAGAAACAUCUUUAACUCAAGGUUGACCUCGGAUCAGGUAGGAAUACCCGCUGAACUUAAGCAUAUCAAUAAGCGGAGGA
RNAcentral lists this unclassified non-coding RNA (338 nucleotides) under soil metagenome. Its description in RNAcentral is "partial contains 5.8S ribosomal RNA, internal transcribed spacer 2, and large subunit ribosomal RNA". The stretch from base 1 to 120 matches the Rfam family "5.8S ribosomal RNA", at positions 35 to 154 of the family's 154-position model. The record is from RNAcentral.